UCCGACUAGUUCCGGGUUCGAGUCCCGGGCACCCA
This 35-nucleotide transfer RNA is filed under the name Holcus mollis. Its description in RNAcentral is "partial transfer RNA-Lys (UUU)". Lineage: Eukaryota; Viridiplantae; Streptophyta; Magnoliopsida; Poales; Poaceae. The record is from RNAcentral.